Molecule: ribosomal RNA, 666 nt
Filed under: Neoprotoparmelia pulchra
Lineage: Eukaryota; Fungi; Ascomycota; Lecanoromycetes; Lecanorales; Parmeliaceae
Description: eukaryotic LSU rRNA
Rfam family: Eukaryotic large subunit ribosomal RNA
Source: RNAcentral
UCAAAAUGGGUGGUAAAUUUCAUUUAAAGCUAAAUACCGGCUGGAGACCGAUAGCGCACAAGUAGAGUGAUCGAAAGAUGAAAAGCACUUUGGAAAGAGAGUUAAAAAGCACGUGAAAUUGUUGAAAGGGAAGCGCUUGCGACCAGACCUGCCCGUGGGUGAUCAGCCGCCGUUCUCGGCGGUGCACUCGCCCGCGAUCAGGCCAGCAUCGGUUCGAGCGGCCGGACAAAGGCCGCGGGAAUGUAGCUUCCUCCGGGGAGUCUUAUAGCCCGCGGCGCAAUGCGGCCAGCCCGGAUCGAGGACCGCGCUUCGGCUAGGAUGCUGGCGUAAUGGUUGCAAGCGACCCGUCUUGAAACACGGACCAAGGAGUCUAACAUCUAUGCGAGUGUUUGGGUGUCAAACCCAUGCGCGUAAUGAAAGUAAACGGAGGUGAGAACCCGUCAGGGCGCAUCAUCGACCGAUCCUGAUGUCUUCGGAUGGAUUUGAGUACGAGCAUAGCUGUUGGGACCCGAAAGAUGGUGAACUAUGCCUGAAUAGGGUGAAGCCAGAGGAAACUCUGGUGGAGGCUCGCAGCGGUUCUGACGUGCAAAUCGAUCGUCAAAUUUGGGUAUAGGGGCGAAAGACUAAUCGAACCAUCUAGUAGCUGGUUCCUGCCGAAGUUUCCCU